CCCUCACUGAAACACAACCAUGAAAGCAAGAGGUCUGAGAGGAAGCCUUCUGCUCUCAAUAUCUCCUAGCUGCAGGCAGGUCUCCAGCAGCCUGAGCUCCUGCCACCAUGCUGCCUCCUGGAUCCCUGACAGACUUUUGUCCCUUUGUCUAAAGGAACUAAACCGUGCUUCACUAUAAAAAUGACCCGAAGAAUAUUCAACAAGAAAACUUCAUGGAAUACCACGGACUUCACUUAUCCUCAGGGUCCAACAGCUUUCCUGCUAGGCUUGCAUCUGGGUUAUUUAUAUGUCACAUAUCAAACAGCUGCUGCCGAUUCUGGUCACGACUGACAUUCUCGCAGAGGCAGCCAUCUGAAGCGUCCCUUCUCUCACUGAUUCGAGCAGGAAUAAGAAAAUGUUGAGCUAAUAUGCCUUCUAGGAGUUAAGUCCUCCUGCGUUUUCCUGAAACUUGGCCUCAAACUAUUCUUGUUGAGAAUUUCCUGCACAAAUUAGAGAAUGUCCUUUCAGCCCUACCCCUGAUAGCUAGCUUCCUUGUUAACACCAAGAAAUGCAAAAAGGAAAAAGGCCUAGGAAGGAAGGAAGUGAUUCUUAAACGAUGUAUUGUUUGCCACUCUUGAGACUUUAUGUUUUCUCCCCUUUUCUGUUGUGUUCACAUAUUGUGCAGUUAUUUAUACCCCUUUCCCAGCAAAUCCAGAUGGCUCUGUUGCAUAUACGCUUUGUAGAGCUACGGGGAAACAGGUGAAGCAAAGUGGGGACCUUCUGUGUAUGUAAGUUUGAGGAGCAUGAAUGCAAGCAAAUGCCAAUGAUUGGCAAAUUUUCCUAAUGUAGAGCUUGUCAAUGUGGGGAAGAAAGUAAGGUUGCUGUGGAAGUCAUUAGUUUCUCGUACCUAUACAAUGGACUUUGGAAAAAAAAAAAACUGCUUAGACUGCAUCAAACCCCUAUCUUGAGGUUUCUGGCACCCUCAUCAGGCUGUUUUCCACCCUUUGAUUUGUGAUUUGGCUUGGAGGUUUAUUUUGCUUUUCAGUUUCCUCUAAAGCUUUGGAUUUGGUUCUCAUUAGGGGAAAAAAAAAAAAGGAAAGAAAAGAGAUCAAUGUGGGCCCGGCAUUUGGCUUGUUACACGACAUUCUCGGCACAAUACUGAUCACCCCAGUUAGGUUGGCAGGGGAACUGUGACAUGGGUGGUUGAUUUAGAUGAUACUGGACUUGCUGGUAUGCCUGUGCAUAGCCCAGUUUGUAGGAUUGUACAAUUGUGGAACUCUGCUAACACUGCUGCAGGAAACAAACAUAUCUGGGUGGCUUGCUUUCUUCCUUGGGUGCGUUUAGAUUACAUCUUUAGGACUUCACUGGACGUUUUAGGGUAGUGGUCUCAAAAAAUUUAUGUGAUAUCCAAGGCAACUCCUGCCAGUCCCUUGUUCCAAGGCCAAUCUGCAGCAGUAUCUCAGUUUUGAGGAAACCAGAGUAAUGCUGCCUUGGAUAGUCAGCUUUCCACGUAUAAUUUUAUCAAGGCUUCAGGAAGGCAGAACUUCUCACAAACCAGAAAUCCAAGGCUUUGAUCUGGCAUCUGGCAACCUGUAUUGUAACAAGGGAGAUGCUGGAUCAGAUUACACAGAGCACCAUUUUACAGAAGACCAUGUCAAGACAGAAGGUGGGCACAUUUUGACUCUGUCUCUCCUAAAGCUUUACGUGGAAGACUGAUCAGAUGCAAAAAAAUCAGGGAUUCAGUUUCUGAAGGCAGUGACAAAAAUGCUUUAAGAAAGAUGAAGUUGACAUUGCCAGUGUAAAAUUCCUGCUCUUACUCAAGCAAAGGCUCCUCCACACCACAGUGUUUUUUUCUGCCUGGAGUGAUAAUCAUUUAACUCAGACCACCCACCGUCACAGUAAGAGCUAAGGAUUUACAAAUUUAGAAGAGCAAUUACAUAGAAAGGGUGAUAGAAACUGAAAACUCCUGAAAUGUCGAGUCAUUUUUCAGGAGCCAGGAAAUGACAUAUAAAAAAAGACAAAGCAAAAAUAACACAACUGCAAUAGCAGCUGUAAGAAUCUGUUUCUGCUUUCCUGAAAUACUUGGAGGAGUCCUGCAAGAUACUGACUUUAAUUCAACAACUACUUUGUUCUGUUCAUGAUAGUGAAGCUAGUCUACAUAGAAAAUGCCUAAUUACCUAUUUCCAAAUUACCUAUUACCCAAAUUUCCCCUAUGCUAAUGACUGACAAGUUUAUUCCAAUGAAAGUUUUGGCCUAAAUUCUCAUUAGGUCCUAAACCCCAGAUCCUAUUAGAAACAAGUGGCCAAGCAGAUCCUUGAGCCUCCUUUCUAAAAUACAAAACCCACUACAGUCACAGAAGCACCUUUCCUGUACCACGAAUGCACUCAAAAAUUAAUGCAGGCUUACACACAGAAUACAAUGUCAAAAAUUAAAAAUUAUCUUAAAAAUAAGCACAGCUUUUAGGCAUUGUACAUCACAGUUCCUCAUUUAUAUGCAUGGGAAGCAGAUGUCUCAACAAAACACACUAAUACAACUGCUUGAGCAGAAGUAGGAAUAGUUACUGUCAUGGGCAAAAUUAUUCCUAAAACACAUGGAAGUACCGGAAUUAGUUGACCUCAACUCCCUAGAAAUGUUGGUGAUGAAGAUAAUACAUACUAAAUCCUCCAUGACUUACAUGCUCUGAUCAGAUGAUAGAGAUGCCAUGUGGUUAUCGACCCAAGACUGGUUCACAAACUGCAUCAGGAUUUUUACCUAAAGGCUUCACUGGAAGCUGUGGGAACCAUGCCAUUAACUUCACUGUGCCAAAGUGAUACCCAAGUAUUGCUCUCUGCUUUCCAGAGAAAACUUAAAAAAAAUACAACCUAUAUCCCAGAAGGUCCUACCUGCACCAAGUUUGCCCUUAUAACCCCAGGAAGCAUACUGGAUUGCAGUCGUCAAAUUAAUUGGGAUAGUAUCUCAGUCUGAUCUGCCCCUUGAUCCCAUAUUUUUGCAACUCUACUGCAGUCUGUUUGUUACAGCAGAAAACAAAACUUUGUGUUUUGGUGAGGCUAUGUACUGAAUCACAAAGCCAUAGCGAUUUCAUUUUUUUUAUUGUAUUGCACAAGAUAUCUAUGCAAUCCAUGUACUGUAUUAAAGGAUCCACAUUUCCCAAAACAGCGGCUGUUGCAGCACACAUCACAAGCGUUGUGAAUAACCAGUGCCUUCUUGAAGAGU
Anas platyrhynchos (mallard) is the source of this 3192-nucleotide long non-coding RNA. RefSeq lists it as uncharacterized. The record is from RefSeq and is a predicted model, not a curated record. Lineage: Eukaryota; Metazoa; Chordata; Aves; Anseriformes; Anatidae.